RNAcentral lists this ribosomal RNA (253 nucleotides) under uncultured bacterium. RNAcentral describes it as "partial 16S ribosomal RNA". It matches the Rfam family "Bacterial small subunit ribosomal RNA", at positions 524 to 776 of the family's 1533-position model. The record is from RNAcentral.
UACGUAGGGUGCGAGCGUUGUCCGGAAUCACUGGGCGUAAAGGGCGCGUAGGUGGCGCGGGCAGUCAACGGUGAAAGUUCGGGGCUCAACCCUGAAUCGGCCGUCGAUACUCCCGGGCUUGAGCACUGUAGAGGCUAAUGGAAUUCCGGGUGUAGCGGUGGAAUGCGUAGAGAUCCGGAAGAACACCGGUGGCGAAGGCGGUUAGCUGGGCAGUUGCUGACACUGAGGCGCGACAGCGUGGGGAGCAAACAGG